AGAGGCGCAUCGAUUAAUCAG
This 21-nucleotide non-coding RNA is filed under the name Arabidopsis thaliana (thale cress). The record is from RNAcentral. Lineage: Eukaryota; Viridiplantae; Streptophyta; Magnoliopsida; Brassicales; Brassicaceae.